UAAUGUAAAAUAAAUAACGUUAAAUAUGAUUUGUUGAAAAAUAGAUUAAACUAAAAGUUCAGUAAAAGUUAGGUUAUGAUAAACUUUACCGUCUGGAAUAUAUAGAUAUAAUUGUUUGUAUUAUUGUGUAUUCUUUUUUUCUAUAAAUUCUUAUUUAUAGCACAGAAUUAGAAUACUCGUUUACAAUGAAGCAGAAUAAUAUUUAAGAGAAUUUGAAUAUAUUUGAUUCCGAUUAACGUUUAAAUAUGAACGCGAAUAAAACUAAUUAACAGUUUUCAAGAUGGGUAGUGUUUACCAUAAAAGGCAGAACAUGAUGCGGCUUCUGAACACGAUAUAGAAAGAAAUGUGGCCAAAAGAAGCAAUGAUUGCAUAUGGAUAAAUUUUGAUAAAAAAAAUCGUGAGAAGAGCGAUGCAAUGACAAGUGAAACUGCACGACCUGCAUUCGGGGGAUGCAUCGAAAGAAGAACGAGUUUGCCGAACGAGUUGUGGAGAUGGAGUCGGGACAAGAGGAACCAAAGGUCUUCAAGUUUUUGUGAGACAUACGAAACCUGCGACGCGGAGCGACAUUCUUCUUCUCUUCUAACCCUUUCUGUUCUCGGUUCGAUGAACGUAAAGAAAUCGGUGUAGAGACGCUGAACUUUUAGGGGCAUACUUUUUCGGAACUGAAUAAAAGUGUUUAUCUUCGAUUUCUACCAAGAUCAACAAUUAUUUUGAUUUUAGUUAAACAAUUUUAAUGAGUGAGUAUUAUUAUUGAAAUAAUUCUUAAAAUUUUUUAAAAAUUUUAAAGCCAAAGAAAUUUUUAAAAAUUUCAUUUUAUGUUUCAUAACAUUACUAUUAUACCAUACUCUCCAUCUUUUUAAAAAGAAAAAAGAAAUCAGGAUAUGAAGAUAUUUAAUUUUUAUUUUCAUUUUUUUUUUUCUUUCCUUUUGUAAUAUCGUCCAAUAAACAACAUGAAAAGACUAUAAUCUCCUGAAAUAAAACGUUCAAGACUUCGAUAAAAAUGCCCAGCCAGAUUCCCCUCAGAUAAGUUGUGCGAUUUCCAGUGAGUUCUCCCUCUAUCGACUGAUACUCACACA
Long non-coding RNA from Apis florea (little honeybee), 1076 nucleotides. NCBI's taxonomy places the organism in Eukaryota, Metazoa, Arthropoda, Insecta, Hymenoptera, Apidae. The record is from RefSeq and is a predicted model, not a curated record.